This 905-nucleotide ribosomal RNA is filed under the name uncultured bacterium. RNAcentral describes it as "bacterial SSU rRNA". It matches the Rfam family "Bacterial small subunit ribosomal RNA", at positions 8 to 912 of the family's 1533-position model. The record is from RNAcentral.
AGAGUUUGAUCAUGGCUCAGAACGAACGCUGGCGGCGUGCUUAAUACAUGCAAGUCGAACGUGAGGUGUAGCAAUACACUGAAAGUGGCGAACGGGUGAGUAACACGUAAGUAAUCUGCCUUUAAGAUUGGGAUAACCCUGCCAACGCGGGGCUAAUACCGGAUGUGGUCCAGAAGGCGCAUGUUUUUUGGAUUAAAGGAGUGAUCCGCUUAGAGAUGAACUUGCGGCCCAUUAGCUAGUUGGCGGGGUAACGGCCCACCAAGGCGUCGAUGGGUAGCCGGCCUGAGAGGGUGUACGGCCACAUUGGGACUGAGAUACGGCCCAGACUCCUACGGGAGGCAGCAGUAGGGAAUUUUGCGCAAUGGACGAAAGUCUGACGCAGCAACGCCGCGUGAAGGAUGAAGGCCCUCGGGUUGUAAACUUCUGUUGGAUGGGAAAAAAGCCUCGCAAGGGGAAUUGAUGGUACCAUUCGAGUAAGCACCGGCUAACUACGUGCCAGCAGCCGCGGUAAUACGUAGGGUGCAAGCGUUGUUCGGAAUCACUGGGCGUAAAGAGAGCGUAGGCGGGAUCGUAAGUUAGGAGUUUAAUGCAUGGGCUCAACCCAUGAUCUGCUUUUAAUACUGCGGUUCUUGAGUAUGGGAGAGGGCGAUGGAAUUCCAGGUGUAGCGGUGGAAUGCGUAGAUAUCUGGAAGAACACCAGUAGCGAAGGCGGUCGCCUGGCCUAAUACUGACGCUGAGGCUCGAAAGCUAGGGGAGCAAACAGGAUUAGAUACCCUGGUAGUCCUAGCCGUAAACGAUGAACACUAGUUGCUGGGGGAGUCAAUCUUUUCAGUGACGAAGCUAACGCAUUAAGUGUUCCCGCCCUGGAAAGUACGCUCGCAAGAGUGAAACUCAAAUGAAAAUCG